Molecule: ribosomal RNA, 160 nt
Filed under: uncultured bacterium
Lineage: Bacteria
Description: partial 16S ribosomal RNA
Rfam family: Bacterial small subunit ribosomal RNA
Source: RNAcentral
CUACGGGAGGCAGCAGUGGGGAAUAUUGCACAAUGGAGGAAACUCUGAUGCAGCGACGCCGCGUGAGUGAAGAAGUAAUUCGUUAUGUAAAGCUCUAUCAGCAGGGAAGAUAGUGACGGUACCUGACUAAGAAGCUCCGGCUAAAUACGUGCCAGCAGCC